RNAcentral lists this ribosomal RNA (253 nucleotides) under uncultured bacterium. RNAcentral's name for it is "partial 16S ribosomal RNA". It matches the Rfam family "Bacterial small subunit ribosomal RNA", at positions 524 to 776 of the family's 1533-position model. The record is from RNAcentral.
UACGUAGGGGGCUAGCGUUGUCCGGAAUCAUUGGGCGUAAAGAGCGUGUAGGCGGUCCGGUAAGUCCGCUGUGAAAGUCGGGGGCUCAACCCUCGAAUGCCGGUGGAUACUGUCGGGCUAGAGUGCGGAAGAGGCGAGUGGAAUUCCUGGUGUAGCGGUGAAAUGCGCAGAUAUCAGGAAGAACACCGGUGGCGAAGGCGCUCUGCUAGGCCGCAACUGACACUGAGGGACGAAAGCUAGGGGAGCGAAUGGG